RNAcentral lists this ribosomal RNA (766 nucleotides) under Salmonella enterica subsp. enterica serovar Typhimurium. Its description in RNAcentral is "partial 23S ribosomal RNA". It matches the Rfam family "Bacterial large subunit ribosomal RNA", at positions 1084 to 1765 of the family's 2925-position model. Lineage: Bacteria; Pseudomonadati; Pseudomonadota; Gammaproteobacteria; Enterobacterales; Enterobacteriaceae. The record is from RNAcentral. RNAcentral also lists the same sequence under 1 other name.
CCCAGACAGCCAGGAUGUUGGCUUAGAAGCAGCCAUCAUUUAAAGAAAGCGUAAUAGCUCACUGGUCGAGUCGGCCUGCGCGGAAGAUGUAACGGGGCUAAACCAUGCACCGAAGCUGCGGCAGCGAACGUAUCACCCAAGACAACUUUACGGAGUUGACGAUUGACGGAGCGAAGCGACGUCAAAGCGUUCAUUAAAGUCGAGUUGGCUUAGGGAUACGUUCGUUGGGUAGGGGAGCGUUCUGUAAGCCUGUGAAGGUGUGUCGUGAGGCAUGCUGGAGGUAUCAGAAGUGCGAAUGCUGACAUAAGUAACGAUAAAGCGGGUGAAAAGCCCGCUCGCCGGAAGACCAAGGGUUCCUGUCCAACGUUAAUCGGGGCAGGGUGAGUCGACCCCUAAGGCGAGGCCGAAAGGCGUAGUCGAUGGGAAACGGGUUAAUAUUCCCGUACUUGGUGUUACUGCGAAGGGGGGACGGAGAAGGCUAUGUUGGCCGGGCGACGGUUGUCCCGGUUUAAGCGUGUAGGUGUGUGUUCCAGGUAAAUCCGGUUCACUUUAACACUGAGGCGUGACGACGAGGCACUACGGUGCUGAAGCAACAAAUGCCCUGCUUCCAGGAAAAGCCUCUAAGCAUCAGGUAACAUCAAAUCGUACCCCAAACCGACACAGGUGGUCAGGUAGAGAAUACCAAGGCGCUUGAGAGAACUCGGGUGAAGGAACUAGGCAAAAUGGUGCCGUAACUUCGGGAGAAGGCACGCUGACACGUAGGUGA